GUCUCCGUGGUCCAGUGGUUACGACGUUCGGCUGUUACUACCGAGAUAUCGGCGGUUCGAUCCCGCCCGGGGACG
Molecule: transfer RNA, 75 nt
Rfam family: tRNA
About the family: Transfer RNA (tRNA) molecules are approximately 80 nucleotides in length. Their secondary structure includes four short double-helical elements and three loops (D, anti-codon, and T loops).